RNAcentral lists this long non-coding RNA (273 nucleotides) under Capsicum annuum. RNAcentral describes it as "long non-coding RNA (CANN_LNC012481)". The record is from RNAcentral. Lineage: Eukaryota; Viridiplantae; Streptophyta; Magnoliopsida; Solanales; Solanaceae.
UGAUUCUGUAUUCAGUGUUUCGUGUUCCGUGUUCCAUGUUUAUUACGAAUCUGUGUGCUUUCCUCUGCUUUAUUAUUCCUGCAUUCCUACUUUACUCUGUUUUAUAUUCCCUAUGGGUGCCGUAUCUAUGUUAUGUCAUCUGCUGCUGUGCUGUACUAUGUGUUUGUGUGAUAUCUCGUGACUUGAGCCGGGGGUCUUUCGGAAACAGCCUUUCUACUUCAUCAGAGGUAGAGGUAUGGACUGUGUACAUCUUACCCCCCCCAGACCCCACUA